Mustela erminea (ermine) is the source of this 1046-nucleotide long non-coding RNA. RefSeq lists it as uncharacterized. The record is from RefSeq and is a predicted model, not a curated record. The transcript is spliced from 3 exons. Lineage: Eukaryota; Metazoa; Chordata; Mammalia; Carnivora; Mustelidae.
AGGCAGAGGUACCCUGGAUGGCCCCUGGAUGGCCCCUGGAUGGCCCAAGCCACUCCCUGCCUCUGGAGGGGAAAGUAGAUGCAUUUUCAGGAGGUGCUUCUGACAUGGUCUGAGAAACAGGAAGCAGUCAGCAGAACUGGUUGUCACUGUCCCUCUUCAGGUGGGGUCUGUGUCCUCCAGUUGGCCAGACUGCCCUGUCUGGCAUGUGCCUAUGCACCUCUGUGUUUGAGACAGCCUCGUUCCUCCUCACCCUUCUGCACAUGCCUGUUUUAUAACGGGGAACUGCAACGGUUUUGUAGUGUGUCAACUUGGCUAGGCUGAACUACAUUUCCCAUGACACCCUUAUUCAUACAUUUCCUGUAGGGUGGGCCACAUUUGCCAGAUUUGGGAGGAAGUCACCAUUUUGGUUGCUGAUCAGGUGACUUACCUCCUCGGUAGGAACCCGUACUGAUUACUGGACUUACCCUGGAUUCUCUCUCAGUUUUCCUGACUCAGGUGUGUGCAUGGUUUAAGUCUAUAACAAAGGGUCUCAGCUUCUGCAGGAUACCCUCAACACCAAGGUCAGAGGCAACAAGAACCAACACAAGUUUCAGUCUGUCCUGGGCUCCAGCUUGUGCCGUUUCGGCCUGCUUAUGAUCUUCCCGUCCUGUCUGGGCACUCACUGCUGGCUCCAGCGUCGGUCAGAGAAAUUCAGCCUUCUGGCAUCUGGUUCCUCAGCCCUGCUAUCAAUCCAAUGUAUAGAGUCUGCUGCCCCAGGAAGCCCUCCUCCAGAGCCUCGCGGUGUCCUGUGCCCCCAGCAUUCACCUGGAAUUGAAGCUCCUCAGUGAGGUCUAAGAGACAUAAGAGGUCGACAGCAGGUGGGCUUUCCCUGUGUAUUGAGAAAGAUGGCUUCUGGCAACUCUGGCCCCCUGUCCCUGCCUGGGAAAGAGCACCUCUUUCCCAGAAGCUCCAGGAAGAGUCCCAGGAUUGACUCCCGAUGGAACUCACUGGGGUCAAGAACCAUUUCUGACCCAGAGGUUGUGGCACAGUGAACAACUGAACACUCA